This 914-nucleotide ribosomal RNA is filed under the name uncultured archaeon. RNAcentral's name for it is "bacterial SSU rRNA". It matches the Rfam family "Archaeal small subunit ribosomal RNA", at positions 1 to 922 of the family's 1478-position model. The record is from RNAcentral.
UUCCGGUUGAUCCUGCCGGACCUGACUGCUAUCGGAUUGAUACUAAGCCAUGCGAGUCAUUGUAGUAAUACAAGGCAGACGGCUCAGUAACGCGUAGUCAACCUACCCUGUGGACGGGGAUAACCUCGGGAAACUGAGAAUAAUACCCGAUAGAACAUUAUGCCUGGAAUGGUUUAUGUUUCAAAUAAUUUAUUGCCGUAGGAUGGGACUGCGUCCUAUCAGUUUGUUGGUGAGGUAAUGGCCCACCAAGACUAUUACAGGUACGGGCUCUGAGAGGAGUAGCCCGGAGAUGGGUACUGAGACACGGACCCAGGCCCUAUGGGGCGCAGCAGGCGAGAAAACUUUGCAAUGUGCGAAAGCACGACAAGGUUAAUCCGAGUGGUUUCUGCUAAAGGAACCUUUUGUCAGUCCUAGAAACACUGAUGAAUAAGGGGUGGGCAAGUUCUGGUGUCAGCCGCCGCGGUAAAACCAGCACCUCAAGUGGUCAGGAUGAUUAUUGGGCCUAAAGCAUCCGUAGCCUGCUUUGUAAGUUUUCGGUUAAAUCCAUACGCUCAACGUAUGGGCUGCCGGGAAUACUGCAAAGCUAGGGAGUGGGAGAGGUAGACGGUACUCGGUAGGAAGGGGUAAAAUCCUUUGAUCUAUUGAUGACCACCUGUGGCGAAGGCGGUCUACCAGAACACGUCCGACGGUGAGGGAUGAAAGCUGGGGGAGCAAACCGGAUUAGAUACCCGGGUAGUCCCAGCUGUAAACUAUGCAAACUCAGUGAUGCAUUGGCUUGAUGCCAAUGCAGUGCUGCAGGGAAGCCGUUAAGUUUGCCGCCUGGGAAGUACGUACGCAAGUAUGAAACUUAAAGGAAUUGGCGGGGGAGCACCACAAGGGGUGAAGCCUGCGGUUCAAUUGGAGUCAACGCCGGG